GGACAGGAGGGUCACCCCACUGACUGCCAGCUGACUUGGCAGGCUAGGGGGUUGUCCCCUUACUCCUUCCCUGCUCCAUGUGCAUCCCUCCCAAAGCUUCUCGUGCUUAGUUGAAGAGGACAACCUUCCCCAAGCAGAGGAGGACUGGGUCUUCGGUCAGGGGUAUAGGAAUAGCUGAGCUCCCCUGCUAGAGCCUCCAAACAAGAACCUAUCAAUCCCUGUAUUUGUAAAUGUUUUACUCAAACAGACGGCAAAUUCUGCCAAGAAGAAACAGGGCAUCUUUGGUCUAUUUUCGCUU
Molecule: small nuclear RNA, 298 nt
Filed under: Neotoma lepida (desert woodrat)
Lineage: Eukaryota; Metazoa; Chordata; Mammalia; Rodentia; Cricetidae
Description: 7SK RNA
Rfam family: 7SK RNA
About the family: 7SK was discovered as an abundant small nuclear RNA in the mid-70s but a possible function has only recently been suggested. Two independent studies have found that 7SK RNA binds the CDK9/cyclin T complex (known as elongation factor P-TEFb). P-TEFb activates transcription by phosphorylating the C-terminal domain of RNA polymerase II.
Source: Rfam by way of RNAcentral